GGGGAAUCUAAAAGAGCUCAAUGUGUCAAUGAUGGGGGUAUAGGCACAAUCUUACUAUGACAGCUCAGUAUCACUGUCUAACUUGUAAAUUGCUUUAGAACAACCAAAUCAGCAUGUUCAAAAUAUGCAAAAGUUAACGUAUCUGAAGACAUUGAUAAUCAAAGUAAAAUGAUAGCUUACCUAUGCAUGGCAAAAAUAGCAGAAGAAAGACAAUAUUGUUUGUCCCCAUGUUAGAAGAAAUUUGAAGAUGAGGGAGGAUUGUAACUUAAAUGCAAGAGGAGCCAGUAAAAAAAGUAAAUACUUGUUACUGAUUGGUCAGCU
Pelobates cultripes (western spadefoot toad) is the source of this 321-nucleotide non-coding RNA. The record is from the annotation of a GenBank genome assembly. NCBI's taxonomy places the organism in Eukaryota, Metazoa, Chordata, Amphibia, Anura, Pelobatidae.